This 253-nucleotide ribosomal RNA is filed under the name uncultured bacterium. Its description in RNAcentral is "partial 16S ribosomal RNA". It matches the Rfam family "Bacterial small subunit ribosomal RNA", at positions 524 to 776 of the family's 1533-position model. The record is from RNAcentral.
UACGGGGGGGGCAAGCGUUGUUCGGAAUUACUGGGCGUAAAGGGUUCGUAGGUGGCCAACUAAGUCAGACGUGAAAUCCCUCAGCUUAACUGGGGAACUGCGUGUGAUACUGGAUGGCUUGGAUUUGGGAGAGGGAUGCGGAAUUCCAGGUGUAGCGGUGAAAUGCGUAGAUAUCUGGAGGAACACCGGUGGCGAAGGCGGCAUCCUGGACCAAUAUUGACGCUGAGGAGCGAAAGCCAGGGGAGCAAACGGG